AAUUUCAGGCAAAAUUGAAAAGUCAUAGGAAUUCGCCAUCCCUUGCCCCGUCCUCUCUCUCUCUUUCUCUUUUUUUUUUUUUCUUUCUUGCAUCUUCCUUCCUGCUCUGGGAAUUAAAACCUCCCACGCUCAAAUUGUGCUACCAAAUCUGGAAAGACUCUAAAAUCGGCCACUGACACUUUCAGUUCCCAAGUACUCUUGAGACUUUUAAAAUGACCCCGAGGUCACGGGCUUCCAACACGUAAGCUGUGGCCUCCGGAGAGAAAGGGCCCAGAAUUGUAAGGAACAGAACGAUUCUAAAUUGGAAAACUCUUACACGAAAAGGCUCCAAAAGAGAUUCUGUUGCUGGGAAACUCCUCUAAAAUGCCGCAGUUUUCUUCGCAGUUCCAUCGGAUUCUGCCUCAAGCGGAAACUGCUGUGCUACAAAAUGUGGGGGCAAGAGUGGAAGAGGGAGGGCACGAGAGACCCUAAAACCACAGCAACGAGCUUCAGCGACCACGUGAUUUGUUUGCGGCUCAACUGAGAUUCGCUCAGAGCCUCGUGCAGGAGGGAUACAGACAGGAAUACUACCUGCACGGUACCUUCAUGCCAUCAGGAGGCUCAGGGACUAUCCAGCUUCUUGCCCCCGUCACCCACCCCACCCCACCCUGGGUCCUACGCAGCUGCUAAGGAAGAUCAAGGUGCAGCUCUGGAGACCAGGAUUUCAUGGCAAACAAGGCAGAGAGCUACCAGCACAAGCAUUCUCUAGCUUAACUUGGCAGGUGCCAAGGAACUAGUGCCAUAAGAAGGCAGAUCCAGGGUCACCUUCCCAGACUUUACUUAAUGCAGGCACAUUUUGGUUUAAGAACACAAGAGGAAAAAAGAAUCAAAGUCCACCCCAUGGUCACCACAGGAACUAACUCGCAUCUACCAUCUCUGUGAUGAGGAAACAAACUGUUUCAUAGGGGCAUUAGAAGCAUGAAAUGUCACAGAGACCUGAAAGAACUUUUUAAAGUGAAGAGCUGAAGAGGGGGCAAGCUUUGCCGCUAUAGAUACUCUUCUAGAUUUGGAGAAUAAUAAAUACAUUAAAUGUGACAAGAGAUAAACUGAAGAAGGAACCAUUAUGCAAAAGGGAAUCAGAACAUGAAGACUUAGAAAACUCUCAGCCUCUCCCAAUAGCAAUAAAUGACAAAGGAUGUUCUGCUGAAAUACCAAGGAUGUGGCUUGGCUACCAUUUGUAAAGAAGUUAUUUGUGUGGCUCAUGGACCCAAACAACCACCUCAGCAGAAGCUGGAACAGAGAUAGGAAUCUCUGGGAAGGAUCCAGAGAAGGCCUUCUUGUCUGAUGGCUUGAAGCCUGGUGUAGGGCAUAGGUCACUAAGAAGGUUUUGACCAAUUCUAUACCAGCAGAAAACCUGCCAGCUUGGGCUGAAGGGGAUACAGAUGGGAUAAAAUGUAAAACACCAGCAAAAUGAACCAUUAAAUAACUGAUUACACUGACCUGGUUGAGUCUGACUCUAAUGUGGCUGCCAUCAUGGCCCAGAUGCCUUUGUGGCUAGAACUGUAACCAGUAAGAAACCUAAAGGAAAGGUGCUUCUGCCAUUUGCUUCUUUUACAGAGUGGGUGAGAAAUAGCUUGUUAAAAAAAAGAAAAGAAAAGAAAAGAAAAGAAAAGAAAAGAAAAGAAAAGAAAAGAAAAGAAAAGAGAAAGAAGGAACUUCUUAACCUUGUGUUUACUAUCUUGCAGGAAAAAAAGUAAUAAUUAACAUACAAAUGUUUCUGUUUUCUGUAACAGCUCCUGCUUUUCUGUCUGCAGUUUGGUAAUCUCCAUAGAUUGUGAGUUUAACUGAGACUUUAAUGUUGCCAGUUCCUAGAAGACAAAAAUAAUUGAGCUGUAACAUGAAAUAGCAUUAAUUUUAUCAAGGGAAUGUCUAUUUACAGGAAGAAAUUUAAAAUUAUUUCCUUCCUUGGCCAUUCUCUCUAAAAUCACACCUUUCAAGUUUUAACAUCUAAUUCUAAAAAAAACUGUCCUUGAACUUUAGGUUCAAGAUAGAGAAUUAACCAAGUUCAUUAUACAUAUUCACCUCGGCUUCUUCCUCAGAUACCCUGUAAAAAAAAAUUAUAAAGUGGAAGAAGAAGAGAAGGAAAGAAAGGGAAAGGGAUAAAAGGCAGGAAAGAAGGAAGGAAGAGUAAGGGAGAGAUAAACCCACAAGUACAAAAAGAAUUAAACAAUUAAACUGGGGAAUUUCAGAAAGCAAAAUGGCAAUGGUGACUGACCGCAGCAUACUAGCGAAAGCUAAAAACCUAAACAGAUGUUGAGAAAGUCACCUUGCUACCUGACUUGCAAUGCAUGAUUGCCAAAAGGCUUGUGAUCUGGUCCCACCAAGUAUUUCUGGAAAUGUGGGUAAAAAUGAGGUCAAAACCAGCAGGGCUGGCUUAAAGUCUGCUUAGGAAGACCACCAGAUCCCUGUUCCAAUCUCAUGCAUUAGGCAACCGUUCCUCUCCUCCCGGCCAGAGACUAGACAUUUAUUAUUUGGAAAGGGAGAACAGGACAUGUUUAGACUGUGAGCCACCUAAUAUAGACAAAAGUUGUUAGUACUGUAGUGAAAAGGAGGGAAUUGACAGUUUAUAUAUCAUUAAUGCUGAAAUUCCCAACCUUCUUGCCCUCUCCCCACCAAAAAUGCACACGGGAAACAUACCAAUUGUAACUAUGGUUCUCAACCAGGAGAAUCUCCCUCACAAUAUUUGACAAUAUCUGCAGACGUUAGAUAACUAAGUGGUGGGAUACUGUCAGGUAGAAAGUUCUUUUGUUCUCUUAAAACUUUCUAUCACGUCCAUGUGGCUUUCCUUUGAUCUGUUUUUUUUCAGUUAUCUAAAUGAGUUACAUAGACAUUGAGAUUACAGACAAUUAUAGUUUUCUUUUUCUAUAGGAUUUUACUAUAUAAGAAACAAAACUGUCACUUAAAGUAUCUUUUUAACACUGUUAAACUGAUAAAAGAAAAUAAAUUGCAGACAGUAAAAAACCAAAGACAAGUCUCUUGAGAAAUAUUUAAAGUUUCAAUGGAAAACAUAAAAAGUAAAAUUUUUACUUGGGAUUUACAAACUAAGGUAAUUUAUUAAUAAUUUAAUUCCCUUUAAUAUUAAUGCAGUUCUAGUGUAUGUAGACUUCAUAAAACCAAAAUGGCAUGCAUAUUAAUUUUCCUCACAAGAGCAAAAUAUGGUAGACAAAUACUGGAAUCUUCUAAAUCUUUAACAACAAUUUUUUUUUUAAAGCUUGACUGUAGACUCUACUCUGGGGUACAGGGACAUUAUCAAAAUAUGACAGUUUCACUGUGGAUAGUAAUUUUUCUCUCAGAUCAGCCAUGUCAGUGGUCAGCCAUGUCAGUGGGCUAGAACCAAAUGACUAGUGGAGGAGAAAGAAGUCAGUCCUAGGUAGGGUUGUUCACUUCUUCCUUUGGUAUUACUUAUUUUUAUUUUUUAAAAGAAACAAAAGUAACAUUCCUUUUUAUAAGAAAGGAAGGAAGGAAGGAGGGUAGGAUAGAAAAACAAAAGAAAGGAAGAAAGAAAGAAAAUUUUAUAAGUAAAAACACAACUUGUUUAGGGAUAGAUAUACUAAUGAGCAAUCUGAUACUUUUCUAGGCUUUUCUUCCAAUAUUUAAUUCUAUACAUAAGUUUUUUUUCUUCUUUCUGGCUCUUUUCUUGAACAAAUACAUUUAAUAUUCUCAUUGGAUAAAGUUAAAUUUGCACUACCUAGUUUCACAGGAAAUUAUAAAUAUUACAGAUAACCAAGUAGGAAAAAGUUUAAUUUGCUUUUCUAGAUAUUAUAAAUUACUAUAGCAGAAAAAAAGUUUGUUUUGCUCUCUAGGUAGUCAUCUAAUUGAAAUAAACACAAGUUUAUUCCCUUUUCCAAUUUUAAAAACAAACAUUCUUCUGGACAGAAUGGUUUAAACGCUCAAUACAUUUAACCAUGCAAUUAUCAUGGUCAAUAGUACAUGAACAUUAGGCAUAGGAUUUUAUAUCUUCCUAUUUGCAGCUUAUAAAUACACUUAAACUUUCCCUGUUAGUUCACUGAUAAUCUACAAAUAACUUGGAUGAGAUGCUCAAAUCUGUUAAAAGGAAUACAAUUAAAAAAUAAAAAUACUUAAUAAAAAGCAAAAUACCAUUACUAUUUAAUUAAAAAAGCUUCUGGACUUUCAAAUAACUAUCUUCACUAUCAAAUUUUGCUUACACCAACAAAGUAGUUCUAGAUUAAUGAAACUACAGGGCUGUUACUCUUAUAAUUAAAACAACACAAAAUAGUACUUGGAUCAAGCUGGAAAAUUACCUGUUUUAAUUCUGCAAUUUGUUCAGAAUCUCUAGCAGAAGCUGUUGCUGAAGAUUGUUCAUUUGUGCCAGGUGAUGUUUGGGAAGAUUUCUGCAAAUAGCAUAAAAAUAAACUAUGAAAUAAAUUCAGUCUAAAGAGAUAGGAAACAAAACUGUACACAUAUAAGCUAUGCCUUAUAGAGGUUUACCAAAAAUUUCAAAUCAACAUUUUAAUUUUUAUAUCUAAGAUAAAAUUUCAACAUAGCACACACUGUCUACAACUUUUCCAUAACUAAUAAACUUAUAUCAAAUAAGCAUAAAUAAAUCUAAGCACUUAUAUCUGAGGUCAUAUGGAGAAAGAACAUAAACAUAGGUAUUUAUUGAGUGAUUUCCAUGUAUUAAAAAAGCUUUAUACAGAAUAGCUCACUUAAUUCUUACAACAACAAAACACAACCACUACCAAUUUGUAGAUCAAGAAACAAGUUUAAAGAGGUUAACUAAGUAGUUUAAAUUCAAUUAGCUAGGAAGUGCUGAAGCUUUAUACAGUGACAUCAAAGCUCAUACUCUAGUUUUGUUUUUAAGUAAAUUCUAUGCUGAAUAUAGGGCUCAACCUCAUGACCCCAAAGUCAAGAGCCGCAUGCUUUACCAACUGAGCCAGCCAAACGCCUUCCAAAGCUCAUAUUCUAAAAUCAUACUAUGAUACUUUGGCUUAAGGGAUCCAGGAAAAUAAAGAAGCAGGGUAAUGAGAAUUAUUCUUGACCUCUUAAAUUUUUUUAGCAUUUACUCACCAAAUUUUCAAUCAGAGAGUUCUUUUCAGCCAGCUGGCUUUGUAAAAGCUCCUGGUUACUUUUUAAUUCUUCUAGCUCUUCUCGUAACCUACCGACUUCUUCUGAUUGAAUGCCAUUCACCUGAGUCUUGUCACUGUAAGAACCUUGAUGCUGAUUAUCUUUUCCUAUUAAGACAGGAAUAAAAUUUGAAAAGCCAGCAUGAAACUUAAGUUUUUGGGAUCCCUGG
Molecule: long non-coding RNA, 5293 nt
Organism: Canis lupus familiaris (dog)
Lineage: Eukaryota; Metazoa; Chordata; Mammalia; Carnivora; Canidae
Exons: 5
Source: RefSeq, a predicted model, not a curated record